UGAUGAUCUAUCAUCAUUUAUUGUUUCAUUUUUUAUAGCAUUUUUAUUGCUGAGUGUUAUUCUAUGGUGUGGAUGCACCACAGUUUAAUCAUUUACCUAUUGAGGGUUUUCUGGUUUUGUGUUUCCAGGUUUUUUGCUAUUACAAAUAAAACUGCUGUGAACAAUUAUGUAUAGGUUUUUGUAUGGACUUAAGUUUUCAUUUCUCUGGGAUGAAUGCCCAGGAGUACAAUUGUUAUUGCAGGAUAAAUGAUGUUUACUUUUUAAAAGAAAUUGCCAAACUAUUUUCCCGAGUGGCUGUACCAUUUUACAUUCCCACCAGCAAUGUAAAAGAGACCCAGUUACCACACUUCAUCACCAGCACUUGGUAUUGCCAUUAAUUUUUAUUUUAAUUAUACUAAUAGAUGUGUAAUAAUGUCUCAUCAUGGUCUUAAUUUGCAUUUCUCUAAUGCAUAGUGAUAUCGAACAUCUUUUACAGGUUUAUUUUGCAUUUAUAUACACCAGUAAGUAAAAUGUCUCUACGUUUUGCUCAUUUUUAAAUUGGAGUGUUUGGUAUUUUACUGCCGAAUUUUGAAAGUUCUUCAUGUAUCUCAAUUGAGUCCUUUGUCAGACAGAUAACUUGCAAAUAUUUUCUCCCACUCUGUAGCUUGUCUUUUCAUCAUCUUAACAGUCUUUCACAGAGAAAAUUUUUAAAAUUUUGAUGAAGUCCAAUGUAUCAACUUUUUUCAUAGAUGGACCAUGCAUUUGGUGUCCUGUCCAACAACUUUUUUACCAAGGCCUAAGUCCUGAAGAUUUCCUCCUACUCUUUUUUCUAAAAUGUUUUUAGUUUUACAUUUAAAUCCUCGAGCCAUUUUGAUGGGGUUUUUUGUGUAAGGAGUAAGGUUUAGAUGAAGGUUAAUUUUUUUUUUUUGCCUAUGAAUAUCCAAAUAUUCCAGCCCCUGGUGUUGAAAAGAUCCAUCUUUUACUAAUGUGCUUUUGCAUGUUUGUAAAAAAUCAGUUGAUGGGCCAGCCCAUUAGUGGUUAAGUUCAGUGUGCUCUGCCUCAGCAACCUGGGUUUGGCUCCCGGGCACAGACCUACACCACUUGUCUGUCAGUGGCCAUGUUGUGGCAGUGGCUCACAUACGAAAAAAUGAAGCUUGGCAGCAGAUGUUAGUUCAGGGUGAAUCUUCCUCAGCAAAAAAUAAAUAAAUAAAUAAAAAACAGUUGGCCGUAUUUCUGUGGGACUAUUUCUGGGUUCUCCAUUUGUUCCAUUGAUCAAUUGUUCCAUUGGUCUAUUAAUUUUGUUCCAUUGAUCUAUCCCACCAUCAAUAUCACACAUUACAGUCUUAAUUACUGUAGCUAUCCAUUAAGUGUUGAAAUUGGGUAGAGUGACUUUUUGUUUUAUUUUUUAUUUUCAAAAUAGUUUGGCUAUUCUAGUUCCUUUGCCUGUCCAUAUAAAUGUUAGAAUAAUCUUGCUUAUAUCCUCAAAACAACCUUGCUGGUAUUUUGAUAGGAAUUGUGUUCAACUUGGACAUUUAUCUGGGGAGAGCUAACAUCUUUAGUAUGUUAGUGGAAUCUUCCAACCCAAGAAAACUGUAUGUCUCUCCAUACAAGACAUGCCACGUCUUCUUGGAUCACUGUUACUAGCACUUUGUAAUUCUAAGUAGCCCCCCAGUACAUAGUUGUAUAUUCUUCGUUGUGGGGCCUUCUAGUUGUGGCAUGCGGGACACUACCUCAGUGCGGUUUGAUGAGCAGUGCCAUGUCCGCGCCCAGGACUUGAACCAACGAAACAUUGGGCUGCCUGCAGUGGAGCACGCGAACCCAACCACUCGGCCACGGGGCCAGCCCCCCAUAUAUCAUUAUUUUUGAAAUUAGCCCUGAGCUAACUGCAGUCAAUCCUCCUCUUCUUGCUGAGGAACACUGGCCCUGAGCUAACAUCCGUGCCCAUCUUCCUCUACUUUCUAUGUGGGAUGCCUACCACAGCAUGGCAUGCCAAGCUGUGCCAUGUCUGCACCUGGGAUCUGAACCAGCGAGCCCCGGACUGCCGAAGCGGAACAUGCACA
This is a long non-coding RNA of Equus caballus (horse), 2039 nucleotides long. The record is from Ensembl. Lineage: Eukaryota; Metazoa; Chordata; Mammalia; Perissodactyla; Equidae.